RNAcentral lists this transfer RNA (70 nucleotides) under uncultured Puniceicoccus sp. It matches the Rfam family "tRNA". Rfam says of the family: Transfer RNA (tRNA) molecules are approximately 80 nucleotides in length. The record is from RNAcentral. Lineage: Bacteria; Pseudomonadati; Verrucomicrobiota; Opitutia; Puniceicoccales; Puniceicoccaceae.
GAGGGUAGCUCAGCCGGAUAGAGCAGCGGCCUUCUAAGCCGCCGGUCGUGGGUUCGAAUCCCACCCCUCG